UUCCGUAGGUGAACCUGCGGAAGGAUCAUUACCUAGAGUUUGUAGACUUCGGUCUGCUACCUCUUACCCAUGUCUUUUGAGUACCUUCGUUUCCUCGGCGGGUCCGCCCGCCGAUUGGACAACAUUCAAACCCUUUGCAGUUGCAAUCAGCGUCUGAAAAAACAUAAUAGUUACAACUUUCAACAACGGAUCUCUUGGUUCUGGCAUCGAUGAAGAACGCAGCGAAAUGCGAUAAGUAGUGUGAAUUGCAGAAUUCAGUGAAUCAUCGAAUCUUUGAACGCACAUUGCGCCCCUUGGUAUUCCAUGGGGCAUGCCUGUUCGAGCGUCAUUUGUACCUUCAAGCUCUGCUUGGUGUUGGGUGUUUGUCUCGCCUCUGCGUGUAGACUCGCCUUAAAACAAUUGGCAGCCGGCGUAUUGAUUUCGGAGCGCAGUACAUCUCGCGCUUUGCACUCAUAACGACGACGUCCAAAAGUACAUUUUUGCACUCUUGACCUCGGAUCAGGUAGGGAUACCCGCUGAACUUAAGCA
Molecule: ribosomal RNA, 528 nt
Filed under: uncultured fungus
Lineage: Eukaryota; Fungi
Description: eukaryotic LSU rRNA
Rfam family: 5.8S ribosomal RNA (bases 175-328)
Source: RNAcentral